GUCGCUUUCGUGCAGGGUCGAGCAAGGGCUUUAACGGUUUUGUAAACCGUCGGUCCUCGGUUCGAUCCCGAGAGUUGGCUCCA
This 83-nucleotide transfer RNA is filed under the name Verrucomicrobiota bacterium. Its description in RNAcentral is "Verrucomicrobia bacterium (hydrothermal vent metagenome) tRNA-Thr". RNAcentral also lists the same sequence under 1 other name. Lineage: Bacteria; Pseudomonadati; Verrucomicrobiota. The record is from RNAcentral.